This 727-nucleotide long non-coding RNA is filed under the name Phasianus colchicus (ring-necked pheasant). RNAcentral's name for it is "lncRNA (ENSPCLG00000004342.1)". The record is from RNAcentral. Lineage: Eukaryota; Metazoa; Chordata; Aves; Galliformes; Phasianidae.
AUGCAUCUCCUGGAGGACUGCAGACACCCCUCAGGCACUUUGCUCAGCACAGGCUGCAGAGCUCUAGGAAGGAGGGAUGGGAGGUUGCUGGGGUUCCCUUCCCCUUCCCCUUCCCCUUCCCCUUCCCCUUCCCCUUCCCCUUCCCCUUCCCCUUCCUUCUUUUUUGUCCUUCUUUUUUGUCCUUCUGAGGGCCUGUGCUUAUUAGUUCCGUGCAAAUUACCUAUUUAUUUCUCCUCUUUCCUACUUCAAGAGCUGAUUCUUCUGGAAAUUGAGGUGGAAGAGCCAGACAGAAAGGGCAAACUGCACCAUCAUCCCAGGAUUGCUGGUGUGGCUGUCAGUUGGUGUUACCUGUUUGUCAAAGGAACCACACUGGAGUCAAACAAUAGUCUGGAUGCAAAUAAGAGAAAGGAUACGUGUCCUGGAUUGGUAAACGGAGCCUCUGUGUUUUCUGUGACCUCUUCUUCCUCAGCUGAUUGUGGAUCAUAACGAUUGCUGCCAUUUGGAUGGGAAUAAUUAACGAGAUAAAUGUAGUUCUGUGUGGACGGACGUGCUGUUACCAAGUCCACGAGGGCAUUAUAGGAGCCUGAAGUGAAGACCAAGAAUCCCUUGACACUUGCUGACCCAGGACAGGAUGGAGCAGAGACAAUAUGAUGCAGAGAUAACCAAAUAAGUCAAGCUACUUGAAAGAAGAUUUGAUUCUGUUUAAUAAAAUCACAGACUAUGCUCA